GUGGGGAAUUUUGGACAAUGGGCGCAAGCCUGAUCCAGCAAUGCCGCGUGCAGGAAGAAGGCCUUCGGGUUGUAAACUGCUUUUGUACGGAACGAAACGGUCCUGGUUAAUACCUGGGGCUAAUGACGGUACCGUAAGAAUAAGCACCGGCUAACUACGUGCCAGCAGCCGCGGUAAUACGUAGGGUGCGAGCGUUAAUCGGAAUUACUGGGCGUAAAGCGUGCGCAGGCGGUGCUGUAAGACAGGCGUGAAAUCCCCGGGCUCAACCUGGGAAUUGCGCUUGUGACUGCAGUGCUGGAGUACGGCAGAGGGGGAUGGGAUUCCGCGUGUAGCAGUGAAAUGCGUAGAUAUGCGGAGGAACACCGAUGGCGAAGGCAGUCCCCUGGGCCUGUACUGACGCUCAUGCACGAAAGCGUGGGGAGCAAACAGGAUUAGAAACCCCGGUAGUCC
RNAcentral lists this ribosomal RNA (450 nucleotides) under uncultured bacterium. RNAcentral's name for it is "partial 16S ribosomal RNA". It matches the Rfam family "Bacterial small subunit ribosomal RNA", at positions 354 to 796 of the family's 1533-position model. The record is from RNAcentral.